RNAcentral lists this ribosomal RNA (454 nucleotides) under uncultured Syntrophus sp. Its description in RNAcentral is "bacterial SSU rRNA". It matches the Rfam family "Bacterial small subunit ribosomal RNA", at positions 925 to 1382 of the family's 1533-position model. The record is from RNAcentral. Lineage: Bacteria; Pseudomonadati; Thermodesulfobacteriota; Syntrophia; Syntrophales; Syntrophaceae.
ACAAGCGUGGAGCAUGUGGUUAAUUCGAUGCAACGCGAAGAACCUACCUGGGCUUGACAUCCACGGAACCUGCUGGAAACAGUGGGGUGCCCUUCGGGAGCCGUGAGACAGGUGCUGCAUGGCUGUCGUCAGCUCGUGUCGUGAGAUGUUGGGUUAAGUCCCGCAACGAGCGCAACCCUUGUCUUUAAUUGCCAUCAUUAAGUUGGGCACUUUAAAGAGACUGCCGGUGUUAAGCCGGAGGAAGGUGGGGAUGACGUCAAGUCCUCAUGGCCUUUAUGUCCAGGGCUACACACGUGCUACAAUGGCCGGUACAAAGGGCAGCCACUCAGCGAUGAGGCGCUAAUCCCAUAAAGCCGGUCUCAGUCCGGAUCGCAGUCUGCAACUCGACUGCGUGAAGUUGGAAUCGCUAGUAAUCGUAGAUCAGCAUGCUGCGGUGAAUACGUUCCCGGGCCUU